UAUAAAAUCUGAAGAGAAAAUAACCACCAGUCACCCUGCUAAUCCAUGGGGCACUUCUGGCUGAAUUAAGUUUGUCCUUGUUAAAGAAAUUAUCUUCGUUUUCUUCCCCUCUCAGGAAUGCAUGUAAAACAGUUCCUGUCUCGAUGCACGCCUAAGGCAAAAAGUUCAGUGCUCAAUUACCUGCUGUCUGCAGUCUUGUAUUUUGCAGUGAGCCAGUGAAACAGCAUUUUAAUCAGACGUCUUGACCCAUGCUCUUCUGUUUUCCUUUGCAGCCUUGCGAGCUAUUUGGCAUAUGAAGGUCCUGACCUGAGAAAACCAUCUUGGAUAACCGUGGCAAGGAGAAGGAAAAAUGCAACAGCUAGGAGAUUUCGAGCAGCAAAGCAAAGCCUGGGAACCGGGCCAAAUGCCUGCCACUUACCUUAAAUUGAUCAGCUACUUUGAGAUUAAAACCCCUGAGAGCUGCCACACCGUGAAAACAAGGCCUCCUUCACAUUAAAGGCAAAUUGCGACUUUG
Molecule: long non-coding RNA, 514 nt
Organism: Capra hircus (goat)
Lineage: Eukaryota; Metazoa; Chordata; Mammalia; Artiodactyla; Bovidae
Exons: 2
Source: RefSeq, a predicted model, not a curated record